GGUUCCAUAGUGUAGCGGUUAGCACGUCCGCUUUACACACAGAAGGUCCUGGAAUCAUGCCCUCGUGGAGCCA
Molecule: non-coding RNA, 73 nt
Organism: Pteropus alecto (black flying fox)
Lineage: Eukaryota; Metazoa; Chordata; Mammalia; Chiroptera; Pteropodidae
Source: Rfam